Long non-coding RNA from Armigeres subalbatus, 466 nucleotides. RefSeq lists it as uncharacterized. The record is from RefSeq and is a predicted model, not a curated record. The transcript is spliced from 3 exons. Lineage: Eukaryota; Metazoa; Arthropoda; Insecta; Diptera; Culicidae.
AAGUUGGGAUUAAACUAUAGUGGUUGAAACUUAAAGCUAGUUUAAAACAAGUUAAAAAGUGGUUAAAGGUUGCGCUCGUUGUAAAAGAUGCACACAAGUCGAUCGCGGUUGUUUCGGCGCUCGAGUCGAUCGUGGUCCCCGUGGUCUCUCUUUGAACUCGAUCGAAACGGUUGUGCGUAAUGUAAACAUCCUUGUGCGGAAGUGGUGAUGCAAAACCAUGUAACGUAUGGAGAUCUGUCUUGUAUAGGGUAUCGGCAGGUAUUCCCGGCAUACCCCUUUAAAUCCGCAAUUGCAUCUCGGAAUACUAUCCAAAAUCGUCCAAAGCUCCCUUUUACGGAGUCUCCACCGGAUGCAUUACCAUUUAUGUGUGUCCCUGCACUAAUACGGAAGGAUCAUUUUUGCAACGAUGCUGAACUAAGUCGGCUAAACUCAAAUCGUUUUCAUACCGAGUCCUGUUAUAUGUGCU